This 497-nucleotide ribosomal RNA is filed under the name uncultured bacterium. Its description in RNAcentral is "partial 16S ribosomal RNA". It matches the Rfam family "Bacterial small subunit ribosomal RNA", at positions 28 to 507 of the family's 1533-position model. The record is from RNAcentral.
GAUGAACGCUGGCGGCGUGCCUAAUACAUGCAAGUCGAGCGAACGGACGAGAAGCUUGCUUCUCUGAUGUUAGCGGCGGACGGGUGAGUAACACGUGGAUAACCUACCUAUAAGACUGGGAUAACUUCGGGAAACCGGAGCUAAUACCGGAUGAUAUUUUGAACCGCAUGGUUCAAAAGUGAAAGACGGUCUUGCUGUCACUUAUAGAUGGAUCCGCGCUGCAUUAGCCAGUUGGUAAGGUAACGGCUUACCAAGGCAACGAUGCAUAGCCGACCUGAGAGGGUGAUCGGCCACACUGGAACUGAGACACGGUCCAGACUCCUACGGGAGGCAGCAGUAGGGAAUCUUCCGCAAUGGGCGAAAGCCUGACGGAGCAACGCCGCGUGAGUGAUGAAGGUCUUCGGAUCGUAAAACUCUGUUAUUAGGGAAGAACAUAUGUGUAAGUAACUGUGCACAUCUUGACGGUACCUAAUCAGAAAGCCACGGCUAACUACGUG